This 301-nucleotide ribosomal RNA is filed under the name uncultured bacterium. RNAcentral's name for it is "partial 16S ribosomal RNA". It matches the Rfam family "Bacterial small subunit ribosomal RNA", at positions 509 to 809 of the family's 1533-position model. The record is from RNAcentral.
CAGUCGCCGCGGGAACACGGAGGGAGCUAGCGUUGUUCGGAAUUACUGGGCGUAAAGCGCGCGUAGGCGGUUACUCAAGUCAGAGGUGAAAGCCCGGGGCUCAACCCCGGAACUGCCUUUGAAACUAGGUGACUAGAAUCUUGGAGAGGUCAGUGGAAUUCCGAGUGUAGAGGUGAAAUUCGUAGAUAUUCGGAAGAACACCAGUGGCGAAGGCGACUGACUGGACAAGUAUUGACGCUGAGGUGCGAAAGCGUGGGGAGCAAACAGGAUUAGAUACCCCUGUAGUCCCUGUCUCUUAUAA